UUUAUAUGUCAUAUUUGUUGUAUUGACGAGGAACAAGAAAUGAGGAGUGUAAAAGUGUGACUAAGGUCCCAUGCUGGAUUUCAACCAGGGAUGUAAUGGGAGCACACAAACUCUCUCCAGGAAUUGCUGUGUUAUGUGUGAGGGCAGUGAGACAGCAGACAAACAAUGCUGGGAUUGCUGUUGGUGAUAAGACCAUCAGUAGUACUGACGAACACCACCUGUUCAUGAGAUCAUGCAUCCUUUCAUGACUCGUACAACAGGUCUGGACCACUCGUGAAUUAACUUCAUACUUUAGACAAAAUUCAAGAAGUCAAGGACCUAUUUCUAACCUUGACAGAGACAGACACCACUAUUUGGACUGGCAGGCAUUGGCUUAGAUACAGCUGCAGCAACAGCAGAAUGAGUAACUGGUGAUCAGGGAGGAUGAGGGGAAUGCAUGCUGUCAUCAGAAUCAACGAGUCCGAAGAAAGAAAGAGCUGAAUCAGGUCCAGUCAUGUGCUUUUAGACAGACACACAAACUGACACCAGGAUACAGGCAGGCAGACAGUAGCAGGACAGAGCCAGAGGAUGAAACACAACUCAACACACCAAAGGCAAAUUGGAGCUCAGCCUAGUAAAACGUGUGUCAAAACACAGCUGAAAAUAUAGCAAAAACUUCCCCUAUAUUUGAACAUUGGCUGCAAACAGGCCUACCGGCUACAAGAGUGAACAGAAGAGGGCGGCCAGCAAGCUCCAGGCUGAGACAGGAGCAUGUGGGUAGUGUAUUUAUUCAGCCAGAUGAUUAUUAGAACUCUGGACUGUAAGUUAUGCCUCUGGCAUCCUAUUCUACAGUCAUCUAUUCAUACUGGCUGACCUAGAAUGAGUCCCCGGGUAGGCUAUUGUACUGUAGAGAGGUAUAUGAUGUGGUUUUUUUUAUUGUGAAAUGAACUUGUGCAAUGAGGUGUAACAUCAUCAAGACCAAACAGCAAGUCCAUUUCCAGUUCAGUUACUGUAAAUGUGUGUAUGUAUGUAUGGAUAGAUGAUGGAUACAAAAUGCAUGAUACCUCUAUUUCUUGUCAAAAAAAGUGUUGAUCAGUGAAAUGUCCCUUUAGAUUACAGCUGCACAUUUUGCAAAUGUCAUUCAUGCUGGAUUUCCUUUAUCUGUAAAGUCAUCUUUCCCAAAAAUGUCUGUACAGUAUGAGGCAUAAUGCACAGAGGGGAGAAUGUGGAGGUGACUGCAUACUCUAUAUUGUAGAGGUCAGAGACUGACUGGUGCAGGCAA
Micropterus dolomieu (smallmouth bass) is the source of this 1261-nucleotide long non-coding RNA. RefSeq lists it as uncharacterized. Lineage: Eukaryota; Metazoa; Chordata; Actinopteri; Centrarchiformes; Centrarchidae. The transcript is spliced from 5 exons. The record is from RefSeq and is a predicted model, not a curated record.